Molecule: transfer RNA, 76 nt
Filed under: Rhodobacter sp.
Lineage: Bacteria; Pseudomonadati; Pseudomonadota; Alphaproteobacteria; Rhodobacterales
Description: tRNA-Arg
Rfam family: tRNA
About the family: Transfer RNA (tRNA) molecules are approximately 80 nucleotides in length.
Source: RNAcentral
GGCCCCGUAGCUCAAUUGGAUAGAGCAGGAUUUUCGGAGAUCCAGGUUUCGGGUUCGAUUCCCGGCGGGGCCACCA